GAUGAACGCUGGCGGCGUGCCUAAUACAUGCAAGUCGAGCGAACAGACGAGGAGCUUGCUCCUCUGACGUUAGCGGCGGACGGGUGAGUAACACGUGGAUAACCUACCUAUAAGACUGGGAUAACUUCGGGAAACCGGAGCUAAUACCGGAUAAUAUAUUGAACCGCAUGGUUCAAUAGUGAAAGACGGUUUUGCUGUCACUUAUAGAUGGAUCCGCGCCGCAUUAGCUAGUUGGUAAGGUAACGGCUUACCAAGGCAACGAUGCGUAGCCGACCUGAGAGGGUGAUCGGCCACACUGGAACUGAGACACGGUCCAGACUCCUACGGGAGGCAGCAGUAGGGAAUCUUCCGCAAAGGGCGAAAGCCUGACGGAGCAACGCCGCGUGAGUGAUGAAGGUCUUCGGAUCGUAAAACUCUGUUAUUAGGGAAGAACAAAUUUGUAAGUAACUAUGCACGUCUUGACGGUACCUAAUCAGAAAGCCACGGCUAACUACGUG
This 497-nucleotide ribosomal RNA is filed under the name uncultured bacterium. RNAcentral's name for it is "partial 16S ribosomal RNA". It matches the Rfam family "Bacterial small subunit ribosomal RNA", at positions 28 to 507 of the family's 1533-position model. The record is from RNAcentral.